Molecule: long non-coding RNA, 348 nt
Organism: Sebastes umbrosus (honeycomb rockfish)
Lineage: Eukaryota; Metazoa; Chordata; Actinopteri; Perciformes; Sebastidae
Exons: 3
Source: RefSeq, a predicted model, not a curated record
AAAAGACCAACGGUAACGGUUAAACCGUUAAACGUCCGGUGUGUCCUCUAAAACACGGUGUUUCGUAGGUUUUUGUUUGUUUAGCACCUGGCUGAUAAGGACACAAGGCAUCAGCGCAACAAUCACUCACAAUAAGAAUGAAAAUGAUCUGCGCUCAUCUCUGGCAAAGUGAUGAAGAGGUGGAGGAUGAAGACGAAGGUUUUGGACCCUCACAGAUGCUGGAUGCCUUAAAGAGCUUUUCCCAGUGGUCCUGAUGAAUGCCCUUAUAGUGCUUGAGUUCCUCCUCAUCCUCUGCCGUCACCGUGGAAACAGUAACAACGCCAGCAGGAAAGGUGAGUAGAUUGUAAA